Molecule: small nuclear RNA, 104 nt
Filed under: Marmota monax (woodchuck)
Lineage: Eukaryota; Metazoa; Chordata; Mammalia; Rodentia; Sciuridae
Source: RNAcentral
GUGCUUGCUUUGGCAGCACACAUACUAAAAUUGGAAGGAUACAGUGAUUAGCACAGUCCCUGCACAGGAUGACAGGCAAUUCCUAAAGCAUUCCAUAUAUUUUU